Molecule: ribosomal RNA, 494 nt
Filed under: uncultured bacterium
Lineage: Bacteria
Description: partial 16S ribosomal RNA
Rfam family: Bacterial small subunit ribosomal RNA
Source: RNAcentral
UGAACGCUGGCGGCGUGCCUAAUACAUGCAAGUCGAGCGAACAGACGAGGAGCUUGCUCCUCUGACGUUAGCGGCGGACGGGUGAGUAACACGUGGAUAACCUACCUAUAAGACUGGGAUAACUUCGGGAAACCGGAGCUAAUACCGGAUAAUAUAUUGAACCGCAUGGUUCAAUAGUGAAAGACGGUUUUGCUGUCACUUAUAGAUGUAUCCGCGCCGCAUUAGCUAGUUGGUAGGGUAACGGCUUACCAAGGCAACGAUGCGUAGCCGACCUGAGAGGGUGAUCGGCAACACUGGAACUGAGAAACGGUCCAGACUCCUACGGGAGGAAGAAGUAGGAAAUCUUCCGCAAGGGGCGAAAGCCUGACGGAGCAACGCCGCGUGAGUGAUGAAGGUCUUCGGAUCGUAAAACUCUGUUAUUAGGGAAGAACAAAUGUGUAAGUAACUAUGCACGUCUUGACGGUACCUAAUCAGAAAGCCACGGCUAACUACGU